Monodelphis domestica (gray short-tailed opossum) is the source of this 2549-nucleotide long non-coding RNA. RefSeq lists it as uncharacterized. The record is from RefSeq and is a predicted model, not a curated record. NCBI's taxonomy places the organism in Eukaryota, Metazoa, Chordata, Mammalia, Didelphimorphia, Didelphidae.
UGGGGGUGGGCAAGAUGGAAUGUUUCAGCUAUGACUGGACUGCCUGUUCUGAGCUUCUAAAGCUGUCUCUAUGCUGUCUGUGUUCUAAGCCCUGAGCCUGGCACAACUUUUCCUGCUAGGUUCUCCCUCUGGACCAGUGAGCACCCUUGACUGCCCAGAAAUUCCAGUCAACUGCUGGAGGCUCAGCACUGUGUCAGUCACUGAAACUGAGUAUCAAAAUAAGCUCAACUCAGAAUCAUGUGCAUACAUCUAUAUCUAUCCACCUCAAUGAACAAAUAUUCAUAUGAUCAAUUUUUUACUGGGUAUUCUUCCUAUGUGUGCAGAUCCAAUGUAUGGAUGAUUGUUUUCAUGAAGAUUUUAUUAAGAUGAGAAAGUAGGUGAAGAAAAUUCACUUUUUUGGGGGGAAAGAAUUUCCAGGAGGGAUUAGCUUCUAAGAGAAGGUGGGAUGUUGUGAAGAAAGCUGUCUAGGAGACAAACCCAUACAGAUAAAAGGAAGAGGAUACUGUCCGAGAAGAAGCAUGCUUGGAUUCUACUGUGGACUUUUCCCAUUGUGUUUCUUGGUCAUUCGAACCAUAAGAAAUAUUAGGAGAAGAAAAUUAACAUCAAAGCUGAUUGUCUUGAAGGAACUGGAGGAGGGAUACAUUAGGUAAUAAUGACAUUAAAAUGUGUUUAAAAAAAACACCUUCACUGGUCUAACUGUUCUACUGUAGAUUUCAUCCUAUAUUUUUCCUCCCUCAUAGUCAAACUCCUAGCAAAUUCUGCUUAUAGUCAUGGUCUUCCCUUUUUCAGCUCUAACUUGAUUCCUAAAACCUUGCAAUUUAACUUCUGACCCAAUCACUUAACUGAAACUAUUCUUUCCAAAGUCAUCACUGAUCUCCUUGUUGUUGAACUGAAUGGGCUUCCUAUCAAGAUUGAGACCAAGAUGGAAGGUAGACCACCAAGUUGCCAUAGUCAAGCAAAAAUCUGACAUUUUCAUCAAACCUGAUAAAGAUAAAGAUAUCCAAUAGGAAUUUACAGGAAGUCCUUUUCCCACCAAAAUUGCAAAAAGAGUUAUUUAGAAGAUCCCAGACAAUAGAAACAGGGACCCAUCAUCAAAGAAAACAACAGUACAGAGCAACCUUGAGGUGAUAUCAAAGAUUGCCAGUGAUACAUGAAAUCUGCCCAGUUUUGUGUCCAGAACCUGCCAGAGUAGAAAGACUCCUGAGGAAAACUCACCUUAGGUAUGGCUCAUUUGUAGAGCAUCCUUAGAAAGGUAUAACAGGGUACUUACUACAAAAUGUUUGCCAGGUAUAUCACAGCAAUUUAUUUCUUCUACCAUAAAAAAUAAUAACACAAAUGAUUCCAAGACUCACAAUUAAAAUGCAGAAAAGCAUAAAACAAUAACCCAUAACAUUCAUUAUACCCUCCUGACAGGUGAAGGUAAGUUUGUGGGACUGCUGAAUAGAUGUUUUACUUUCACCCCAGACCUGCACUGUCUGAGCAACUCACAAGAUCCAAAUCUCACGGCUAGCCUGCACAUGAAUUAGGUUUGAUUUAGUCCUUUCACUGAAGAAUCCUGCUGGAAGUGGUGCUCUUUUCCUCCAAGAAGUGAUCCUGUUUGCUGAACUUUUGGCACCCACCCCCAUAACUCUCAAACUUUCCAACUCACAAAGAUGACCACCAGCCCUGCGACGUCUUUUUCUCAAAAUUGUUGAUUUUGUUGAUUUUCCUAACCAAUUCCAGGAAAAAAUAGAAAGUAGAAUGUGAUCAGAGAUUCAGGUUCACCUAGGCAAGCACAUGGUUCUGUUGGCAUGUGUGAUAGCUGGCAUUGCCAUAUAGAGAAAAGGGAGAGGGGAAAAUCCAUUACUUUUCCUGUUGAAUGUCCAAGAUAGAGAAAGCAAUAGAUACAUCCCAAAAGAUGUUGGGUUUAAAAAAGAGUGAGAAGUUAUUUCUACCUCUUCUAUAGAGCAUCAAGGGAAUAGGUUUCUCCUUGAUCAGAUGUCAAUCAUCUUUGAAAUAACCUUUUAAACUUGAGAAAAUAUGAGGACCAGUCAGUUGCUCCAUCAUUCCAAAGAGCAUGUCCUUCAGUUCAGAGCCAGACACAUGUCUAGCUUCAUUUAGAAAUGUUUCUUUCUGACAAAGGACUCCUGUAAUUUCAUCACGUAGAUUUAGGGACUGAUUUAUCAAAUCCCUAAUCAACUUUCCACCCAUAGCAUUAGAAUAAAACUUUAAAAAGAAGUGUGAUUCAUUCCAAAUGUACCAGAAAAUACAUUGUUUUGAGUUGUUUAAUGGCAAAAUGAGAGUUCAUAGAGGGAGGAAAGAGGAGGAUCUGUUUUCUAUAAGCCUUCCUUUUUCCUUUGCAAUAAUAAACACUUAUUCAGUAUAUGAACAAUUUGUUUCUCAAAAUAUAUAUAUAGAAAUGCCUAUUUAUGGUUUCUGGGAGUUGAGAUACAGAACAUCUUGAGUUAUUUUUAAAGUCUGAUCCUUUGUUCUAGAGUUGAUAAACCAAAAUCCAGGGAGAAGUUAAGCAACUUGGCCAAUUCAUAUAGCAGAGAGGGGAAGAACUGAGA